This 3675-nucleotide unclassified non-coding RNA is filed under the name Hevea brasiliensis (rubber tree). Lineage: Eukaryota; Viridiplantae; Streptophyta; Magnoliopsida; Malpighiales; Euphorbiaceae. The record is from RNAcentral.
CAGUUUGUUAAGCAGUUCCUGUUAUCAACCUUUCCUGCUGAUCAAAUUUUUUGACCUUUACAAUGCCAAAGAGAACUUGGAUGCCGAAGAAUGCACACAAGGCAUAUGCUGCAACAGCCGGUACUCGAAUGGAAUUGAGAUACAAAAUUGUUGCAAGGUUUAUAAGGCUUCCAGCAGCAACUGCCUGUUGAUUGGUCAGAGGGUUAUAUAACCAAAGAGUAAAUAACCAUGCCCAUCAAAACAUAUUCAAAAUUUUUCUUAAGGAAUAUAUGAAAAAGUAAUAAUAAUAAUAAUAAUUAAUCAUGACAAGUAGACAAGCAUAUCGCCUUUGCUUCAACUCUAACACGAGGGCAGGCAGGCACAUUACACAAAGGAACACAACCACAUGCGUAUCUGCUUGCCAAAUUAUAAUUUUUCACAAUGUAUGUAACUUCAAUAGAGUGAUUCCUUGUAUCUGGAAGCAGCAUAUAGUGAAACAUGCUGAAUUAGUGAUCUGGCAUGAUUUUAGACAUAAGAAUUCGUAAAAGCCAAGGUAAUUGAAGGUGAAUUCUCUUACUACUAAUUUACUAUUCAUACAAGUUUAAAAAAUGGAAGCAACUUAUGUGCUGUGUUCUCAAGCAUUGAACAAGCAAAUUUUCAACAGGAUAUAUGUGUAGUUCAAAAUAUACAUGGAGAAAAGGUUUCUCAUUGAGUUUCAAAAGUGGAGAAGACAAAUAAUUAAUUUUUUUUUUUUUCUAUAAGUUUCUAAAUAAAGAUACAACAAUAAUAUAUUUUACAAAUAUAAUUAUAAAUGUGAAAACUUAUAUGUAAUCAUGAGAAAAGCAAAUGAAAAAAUACAGUUACUGGAACCACAAAUGCCUUCCACACUUUUCUUCCUUCCAACUCACCAGUUGAAAACAUCUUGCCAUAUGCUUCAAACAAGAAAUCACCCAAUUGAGCAUAAACAAAGAGCUUGACAUGGUUUGGGCUCUUAGAACGUGGAGAAUUCGGCCUUUCAAUUAAAUUGUAUUGAAGUGCUCAAUGAAUUGAAAUUUCCCUACUGGAAUAUAUCAUUUUUAUGCGAAAUAGACAAUGGAAACCAUCUUCUACAUCUAAUGCAAAAUUUACGUAGUCUGAUUAAUCAACACUGGAACCAUAUUAUCUAGAAUUAAGACAAUAAGAGAUUUUAGCAGUUUGAUUACUAGAAAGCUGUUUAAAAUCUUACAAACAAAGCAAUUCAACACCACUUUUCCCCUGAGAAAUAUAUAAAUGCAAUGAUUAAUACAUUCAAUGGAACCUAAAAGAAAGAUGAAGAUAAAUUUGAUGAGGUGACACUUCCAUUCAUUUGUAAGCCAGAUAAAUACUUACACACCCAACUGUCUUCUGAACAGCAGCAACACGCUGGAAUGCCCUUUCAGACUCCAGAGUUCUAACUCGAAGCUUCAAAUCACCUUGCUCCAAUCGUUGGAUAGUUUCAGCAAGCUUUUCAACUCUGUCAGCCUGUCUAAAUAAGUUGUAGAAAGCUCGAGACUGCCUGUCCCAUCUCUUUCUGAGGUCCUGAAGUAUUUACUGAUUCAUAUCAUGCCUAGUGCAGAAGGCUAAAGUAGAAUUAAGAUGGCCCAAGUUUAUAUUCCAGAUCCCUUGCCAUAUACAAAAAAUAAAGGAAAAGUUCUACCUUCAGGAGAACUUCAACUCCAGCUUCGCGAAACCUCAGCAACUCGAGUGCAUAAGGUUUGGCAAUCUCUGUUAUAUCAAACCGGGGGUCAAGGCCCUUCCCAAUGCCAUCCAGCACUGAAAAUGCUCUGACAACAAAUGUGAAUGUGGCAGGAAAUCGAAAAGGUUGAUCUGCUGCAAUGGCUAAUAAAUCUUCCCCAAUUGCAGCCAGGCGUUCCUUCUUUUUCUCUAUUUUUUCCUCCUUGGUCAAUGGCUUUUUAAAUCCAAGUUCUGCUGUAGCCAUUUCUCUCUCUCGUCUUUGCGUAGCAAGACGCUCCUCAAAACUAUUAAGGAAGAAUUGGGCAGUUCGUCUAACAGCUGUCAUGUCUCCAAUAGGCACAAGGACACCCAUUUGGAUCAUUGAUUGAAGGACCUUAUCAGGAUCCUUCUCGUAAACUCCAUAAAAUGCUUCCAACAACCCUUCUCUAAUAUUUGGACUGAUACUUCCCAUCAUUCCAAAAUCAUAAAAGAUCAACCUCCCACCGUUGACAUCAUCAACAGCGAUAUUUCCUGGAUGAGGAUCAGCAUGGAAAAAACCAUGAGAUAGAAUUUGUUCCAAGUAAGAUUCAACAGCAUAUCGGCCCAACCUCUUACGAUCAACACCCAAUUGAUCUAAAGCUUUUAUUUUGUUUAUUUUGAUCCCUGGGACAUAUUCCAUUGUCAGAACCUGUGGCGUUGUGUAUUCCCACAAAAUAGUCGGGACUUUGACAUAAUCCAUAUCUUUGAAAUUACUCGCAAAAAGUUCAGCAUUAGCAGCUUCCUUGGUGUAAUCAAUCUCCUGAUACAAGACAGUUGCACAUUCAUCAUAAAUUGCUACCCAGUCCCUCUUUGCACCAUCUGACUUUGGGUCAAUCUUUUGAAGAUAUUCUGCUAUUACCCUCAGGUUUUUAAGAUCAAUAUCAAAAAGAUCCUUGAGACCAGGUCUUUGUACUUUAACCACAACUUCCUGUCCCUUCAAUCUUGCACGGUGAACCUGACCAAGACUUGCAGCAGCAAUUGGUUCAUAGUCAAACUGAUCAAAGAUGUCAUCCAAUGGGCCUCCAAGCUCUUCUUCAACUAUAGACACAGCUGUCUCUGAUGGGAAGGGAGGAACUUGAUCCUGAAGUUCAGACAACUGAUCAACAUAUUCCUGAGCAAGAAUAUCCACUCUAGUGGACAACUGCUGGCCAAUUUUGAUGAACGUAGGACCUAAUCUCAAUAUGUUUUCCUUUAACCACUUGGCAAGGGCUUUCCGUCUCAGAACUUUUUUCUCCUCUGUCAUUCCUCCUCGAUAAGAGAAUUUCUGGUUGUUCAGCCAAGCUCUGAUUAUGAAUGUAAAAACAAAUCCCCAUAUUUCCAACGUCCUUUGAAUUGUUGAGUAGGAUUUAAAUCUACUCCAGCGGCCCCCGGGUGCAACAGAAACCUCAAUCUGUUGCUGAUCAUUUGCACGUUUAAACCAGGCAUCUUCUUUCCCAAUCUCUUCUAUUCUUUUCUUCCGUUCAUCUUCUGACAAUUCAGCCUCUUCCUCCACCACCAUUUCCGCCGCUGCAACACCGCUGCCAUUCACGUACUUUACCAAACUUCCAUUGCUUACUCCCUUAUCACUUUCCACCACACUAACGCCACCAUUACUAUAACUCCCUAUUGACGAUCCAUUUAAACCAUAGUUAUCGGAAGUACUAGUAGAAGCAGCCCCAUUUCCAUUCACUUCCUUCAACAAUUCACGCUCCCUCUCUUCAAUCACCACACUGUCUUCUCUAACAGACCGAACUCGAGUGCGGAGGAGGAAAGCGCUCUUACGCUGGUUAAAAGAAAGAGGAAAUCUAGAGAAAGAAAGGCUGUGUUUAGGAGUGGUUUGUGGACAGAGGAAAGUGAGGUCUGGUAGAGGCAAUAACGAAGCCAUCAAUGGAGAUUUUUACUCUUGAAACCUAAAAACCAGAAGAAGCUGAUCAAAUCCAAAUCCUAAUUCUCAUGAUUUCUCGGAGAGAGAGAGAGAGAGAGAGA